RNAcentral lists this ribosomal RNA (480 nucleotides) under uncultured bacterium. RNAcentral's name for it is "SSU rRNA". It matches the Rfam family "Bacterial small subunit ribosomal RNA", at positions 26 to 518 of the family's 1533-position model. The record is from RNAcentral.
AGGACGAACGCUGGCGGCGUGCUUAACACAUGCAAGUCACGGGGGCCCGCAAGGGUAACCGGCGAACGGGUGCGUAACACGUGAGCAACCUGCCUAGAUGUGGGGGAUAGCCGGCCCAACGGCCGGGUAAUACCGCAUACGGUCACGAGGAGGAGUCUCCUUGUGAAGAAACCUCCGGGGCAUUUAGAGGGGCUCGCGGCCUAUCAGCUAGUUGGCGGGGUAAUGGCCCACCAAGGCUUCGACGGGUAGCUGGUCUGAGAGGAUGGCCAGCCACAUUGGGACUGAGAGACGGCCCAGACUCCUACGGGAGGCAGCAGUGGGAAUCUUGCGCAAUGGCCGAAAGGCUGACGCAGCGACGCCGCGUGUGGGAGGACGCCCGUUCGGGGUGUAAACCACUGGUUGCCCGGGACGAACAUCCACUUUCGAGUGGACUGACGGUACCGGGUGAGGAGCACCGGCUAACUCCGCGCCAGCAGCCGC